Lolium perenne is the source of this 4987-nucleotide long non-coding RNA. RefSeq lists it as uncharacterized. The record is from RefSeq and is a predicted model, not a curated record. Lineage: Eukaryota; Viridiplantae; Streptophyta; Magnoliopsida; Poales; Poaceae.
AGGGUAGGUUGGGGUUUUCGUCGCUCUCCAGUCUCCACCCAAUCCCCACCCCAUCGGUCUCCCCAAUCGCUGCGUCUCCCAGCUUCCUCAACUCUUCAUUGUGCAAAAGCCUUCCGGCGCUUAGGGUUCGUCCAUGGCCGCUUGCUUGGAGGCGUGGGGCUGGUCCGCGAGGGAGAUGGACCAGUGAAGAAGGCGUUGGGGCUAUGGUGGGUGGCUAGCAGCGAGGGCGGGGGUGGCCGGCGAGCUGCGAGGCGGCGAGGGCGGGGGUGGCCGGGGAGCUGCGAGGCGGCGAGGGCGGGGUGGCCGGCGAGCUGCGAGGCGGCGAGGGCGUGGUGGCCGGCGAGCUGCGAGGCGGCGAGGGCGGGGUGGCGCUCCUUUGCUCCUCACAUUUUCACCGGCAGCAACGAGCGCCCGACCUCUUUGUUCGUGGACUUCUUUCCGGUCGUCGCCUGGGAUUGUCGCAUCGGGUGGCCGGCUUCCUCUUGCAUUCACGGAGCGAGCAAAAGCAGCGGCCAUGGGCGGGCGGUUGAGCAGGCGUGCGAGCAGCUGCAGGGCGCCAUGUGUGUGGCGGCUGAUGCGGGAAAUGGAGCAGGCGGAGGGAGGAUGAGGAUUUGACGGCCGGCUGGAGGCCACGGUGGACCUGUACAGUGACGGAAGGGCGGCCAUGGGCGAGCAGUUGAGAGGGGGCGCCAGAAACUGCAGGGCUACGGAAGGGAAGCUGCAAAGGAUGCAAGCACCAUUUUAUUCCACAGCUUUAUUUAGUACGCAUCAAGCUUACCUGCAAAGGUCUGAAUCCACUGGGCAUGGGUAUCGCCGUCGUCAGUUCUCCUUGUCUUUAGGUCAAAAGUUCGGCUCUGAAGAUUGAUUACAAUUUGAUUAUUUCCCUAUUUUUCGUAUUUGAUUGCAUGAUAUAUAUAUGUGCGAUGACAUGAAGAUUAAAUCCUUUAGUGGCAUAUGAGUGUAUUAAAAGUAUCGAGAAUUGGAUCAUCCUAACUGAUACUGAGAGUGACACCAUUGUGGAAGAUGACCCGAUGUGGUUGUUAUUUUUAUUUUCCUUGAAUGACUCAUAUAGGCUGCCAUGUGAGAGCUGAUUCAUGUGGUGUGUAGCUAGCCAGCAUAGAAUAAUUCUAUUAGAAUGUUGUGAAAAUAGAUCAGGUGGUAAUUAAAUUUUCGACCUAAUGAUAUUUUCUUAUUUCAUUUUGAAUAUCCAAACAAGUUGUUUUCAUAUGAAACCCAUUGACAUGCUAGCCCAGUGCAGGAGCAAUACCACACACUAAUUUAUUUUUUUCUGAUUUAUGAUUUACUAUAUAUUGCAUUCUCUAGACACUCCAUGUAGGCAUCUUGUUUGCUUAUUCUUUUGUUUUAUGAUAAGCUGAUGGAUUGUAUACGCCGAACCAUUUGUGUUCUCUUCAUAAAUAAUGGAGGGAGUAUUUCUAAAGGACUCUCAUUUUCUAAUGUAUGAAAAUGCAGAGUUGCUUUCAAGAUACUCGACUAGGAUCUCUAAUGAGGUGGAGCCUUUCCUCUCUGCCUGAUCAUGUAUUUUGCAUUUAUGUUUUUUGCCAGUUUGUCCCUUGCUUGAGGCUUUUACUACUGCAAUGUUUCUUUUAUUUAUCUACAGUUCCGUGUCUGCCCGCUGCUCCCUCUCCGAAAUCUCGCUCCACUGCACCGUGGUACAACGGGAGACCGGCGGCGGGGAUGACCACCCAGGGAAGCGAGAGACUGAUGCAAGAUGCAUGAUAGGUUGUGUUCUUUUAUUCUUUGUCAACUGAUAAUUCCUCCGGAUAAUUAUGCACUCUUCAUUUAAUGUUUGCUUAUCAUCGAUGUUUACAAAUGUGUACAAAAUAAAUUUUUGCAUGAACUCCACGGGAUCGUGCGCCAAGGGACCGUGUGGCAGCUGUGCCGGUGGCAAGCGCCCGAGUGAUGUCGGCGGCUGGACGCAGCAGCGGUGGCCGCCGCAAGUGCCGGGAGAUGGCUUGACAAGGUGAUGUGCUUCACUGGACGCUGGCUUGUUGCUCUUCCUAGCCAUAAGUUAAUCCCAUGAUCAUGUAUGAAAAUUCAGAAGUUGAUGCAGAUAAUUUUCUUGCUGAAAAAUGCUCAGUCUAUUAUAUCUUGAGAAGCAACAUUAUUCAUGGCCUCCCUAUAGCGUCUCUAUUCCCUUACUCAGGUAUCAUCUUCCCUCUUCAUUUUUCGACGUAGGUGAUGCAGCGUUCAUUGAGGAUAAUAAUUGACGGAAUAGGACCAGUGAACUUGUUCCCUUUGCAAUGACCUGAUACAGAAAAGUACACAGCUCAUCAUAUUAGUGCUGAUUCUCUGUAGUAUUCAGUCUACUAAUAGCUAUUCUUUUCCGAAAUUUAACUGGAGUUAUAUUACCCCUCUCCCAGUUAUGUGACUAGAGUUUACAAUAUAGUCUGUUAGGGAGGUACAUGGGAAACACUCACUUCGCUGCUGCUCUGCCUCUGCAUCCUCUUCGACUUUCAAUAGGAGGAUCAUGUGAUGUCUGCUUCCACAUUGAGCCAGGUUAUGAUUGCAGUUAAAGGAAGCCCACUCAGGUUAUUGAUAGGAGAGAAAAAAAUACGCAAACAUCUAUCUUUUCAUUUCAAAUAGAACAUCAGAAACACUAUACAUCAGAUGAUUGUCCAGUUACGACUCCAGAUGGUCUGGAUUUCUUUAAAUCAAGGAAGCUCUAGAUGGCUUCUAAAAUUUAAGAUGCAGAUGUUGGAUUUCUGUAAACCAAGGUUAGUGAUGUCAUGGCUUUAGUUUCAGCUCUGGUAUAUGUUUCAUUGUCGUGACAGCUAAGCGGUUCUAGCAUUUUUUUUAGAGAAAGAACAUGCAGAAAACAUUUUCUCACAUUUUCGUUGAGGUAAAUCACAAAUGGAUACAUGAGUACGUGCCAAAGCACCCACAGUUCACUCAUCUGAGGAAGCUUGAUGGCCUUCCCUUGUUCUGUUCUAAUGAGCUGCUUUAUGGUUUCUCAGUUUUGAACACAAUACUUUGUUAGAAGAGGUAAUGGAUGGUUUUCACUAAACCAGUUGCAUUAUAGCUCUCACAUUAGGACUAAAAUAUUUCAUGAAUUUUUUAUUAACUGUUCAGUGGCUAACCCUGUGUUUCUAAGUUUGAAAUUGAGUUAUAACAUACUCUUGUUUUUGUGACUAUUAAAGUGAAAUAGUAGAGGCACUAGAUCAUUUGCUUUGAGCCUGUGAUGGUUUGUUGAAGAACAGUUUCUUUGUACUCUUUGUUUUCUCAAAAAAAAUUAAGCCAUAUAAGUACUGAGGUGAAAUUUGUUGCUUGCAGAGCUUAUAUAGUGGUAGACCCAUGUCACUUGAAUUGAUAUUGGUGCAUACAGAUAUAGCUGGUCCAGUUCACCAUUCCUUUUGUCGUACUUCAGGAUGUAACCGUAUUUUGACUUAUAUAGAAUCGUUAGUUUCAAACGAGAGCAAGGUACAUAAAGCCAUAAAGGAGCUCAAGAUGUUCUUAUUCACAUGAAGUACAGUGAUUAUUAAAUAGACAUGGAUGUGGGUGAUAGUUUCAGCGAUGUAGGAGCAGGGCCGGUCACCGUCGUCUCCCAAGACACCACUCGCACCUUGCCACCGCAAUCUCCUGCUUGACCACGAGGAGGUCAUGCCGGAAGAUUUUCGCUAAGGCCCUACCUUGCUGAACUAUGCGGAUGUCGCGCGGCCACUUAUUUUUGGGUAUGCCCUUGCCCUGCUCUGUCUGAUGUAGUGAUGGUUUAAGCCAUGGCUGCAUGCUUCUCUACAAGGGAUAUAUACGGUGAACAUGUCCAGAGUGUUCUUACACUUUUCAUAGUUAACUUCUUUAGCAACAACUUUUUUAUGUACCUCUGUAAAUGGUGAUUUGGAGCUUAUUUCAAAUAAUGAAUAUUGAAAACUUUGUUCAGGACAUGAAAUAUUUGGAAAAAUCUAUACCAUAGUUCUAAGAGUUUACUCUACAGGCCUGUUUUUCCCAUCUAUAUUUGGCAAAAUCUAUAUUUGUGAAGUAUCGGGCUUAAGCCGGUUUCUUUAUCACUACUAUAUUUGGGAACAAUCACAAGGUACAGUUGGCUGAUGAUUAUAUUUUUCCUCUCUGAUUUGGAUACAUCUAGAUAGGUUUACUACCUUUAGGCUGACCAUGCUUUCUAUCAAUGAAAUUUUCAGAGAUUGCUUCCUUUCAUGGAUGAUGUCCUCGAGAAAAUUUACUAUUGCAGUAUGUUCCCUGAUUCUUAGUAUGUACACAAAUAAGAUUAGUCUAUGAGUUUGUCAUACACAAAUUUAUCUAUUUGUAGCAGGGUCAAACAAUUAAACCACCCUAUGCAUCUUGCAUGUCUAGAAAUGAAUUAUUUGAAGGUGCUUUUUAAAAUGAUAUAUUGUUGUUAAUGCAUUUUUUACAGGAAUAUUAUUCUAAUUUAGUAUUCGUAUUGUCAAAUACAUGAUAAUAAAGCCCUUCUUGCGCCCAGUAAAGCACCAUUUAUGGAGGGUGCCGGAAAAAAAGAGUAGGACGGGAAGGAAUCUCCUCAAGUCAAAUGAAUUACCAUUUUGUUAAUAAAGCACCCCAUGCGCCCAUUGUUCUCGAAUCUCAUACCUGAUUGUUUGAACUGCAAUUGAAAAUUUGAUGUAUUGUAAUGUCAGAUAAAAUUGCCGCCAUCAACACCUAUGUUCCAAUGCAUUUGGUGGUUCAGGUUUUUAGUCUUCCACUACAGUACUCUUUUUAAUAUUGGUGUGUUAGAUUUGAAUUUGUUUGUGAUUUUCAGCCGCACACGUUGAAGAGUUACCUGUCCAGGUCCCGCUUGCUGGCAUGUCCGGCUACCGCCGGAGCUAUGGCGGUCUCAUCACCACAUGUUUUACUCGCUAGAGUUUGUGCUAGCUUUUCUCAUUUUUAUUUAUGUGUAUACCUAUUAAUAUUUGCUCAAGAGGAACUUGUAGAACUCCGCUCUCUCUUGUCAGUAGCUUGCAACAUCAAUAAUCUGAAAUUUCAGCCAUACUAUUUUAUCUCA